UUAUCAGAGAGUUUGAUCCUGGCUCAGGAUGAACGCUGGCGGCGUGCUUAACACAUGCAAGUCGAACGGGAAACCUUUUAUUGAAGCUUCGGCAGAUUUAGAUUGUUUCUAGUGGCGGACGGGUGAGUAACGCGUGGGUAACCUGCCUUAUACAGGGGGAUAACAGUCAGAAAUGACUGCUAAUACCGCAUAAGCGCACAGAGCUGCAUGGCUCAGUGUGAAAAACUCCGGUGGUAUAAGAUGGACCCGCGUUGGAUUAGCUAGUUGGUGGGGUAACGGCCCACCAAGGCGACGAUCCAUAGCCGGCCUGAGAGGGUGAACGGCCACAUUGGGACUGAGACACGGCCCAGACUCCUACGGGAGGCAGCAGUGGGGAAUAUUGCACAAUGGGGGAAACCCUGAUGCAGCGACGCCGCGUGGAGGAAGAAGGUCUUCGGAUUGUAAACUCCUGUUGUUG
RNAcentral lists this ribosomal RNA (457 nucleotides) under Blautia sp. Its description in RNAcentral is "bacterial SSU rRNA". It matches the Rfam family "Bacterial small subunit ribosomal RNA", at positions 1 to 441 of the family's 1533-position model. Lineage: Bacteria; Bacillati; Bacillota; Clostridia; Lachnospirales; Lachnospiraceae. The record is from RNAcentral.